UACUGAGGAAACUGUAUUUCCUGUCAGAGAUGCUCAGUGAUCCUCAGAGCAGAGAGAGGUAUUGCUGUCUUCUGAGUUCUUCAGUGUCCCAACUGAGACAUUCAAACCUCAUUGCAGAGCUCAUGUCUUUCCUCACCAUCAUGUGAGUGUGAGAUUGCUCUGGAUUCUGGUUAUGUGGCCUGCAGCACCUAUAAGAACAAGCUCGUCCAGUGUGCCUGCAUUCCAGCUUCUUAGACUCUACUCAAGUGGACAGAGUAUCAGUGUUUGGCCACUCUUACAGACAC
Maylandia zebra (zebra mbuna) is the source of this 284-nucleotide long non-coding RNA. RefSeq lists it as uncharacterized. NCBI's taxonomy places the organism in Eukaryota, Metazoa, Chordata, Actinopteri, Cichliformes, Cichlidae. The record is from RefSeq and is a predicted model, not a curated record.